ACUACGGGUGGCAGCAGUGAGGAAUAUUGGUCAAUGGGCGGAAGCCUGAACCAGCCAAGUAGCGUGCGGGAUGAAGGCCCUACGGGUCGUAAACCGCUUUUGCACGGGGAUAACACCCUCCACUUGUGGAGGUCUGCAGGUACCGUGCGAAUAAGGGACGGCCAAUUCCGUGCCAGCAGCCGCGGUAAUACGGAAGGCCCGAGGGUUAUCCGGAUUCAUUGGGCUUAAAGGGAGCGUAGGCGGGCGUUCAAGUCAGCGGUAAAAUUGCGGGGCUCAACCGCGCCCCGCAGUUGAAACUGGGCGCCUUGAGUGCACAACAGGCAGGCGGAAUUCGUGGUGUAGCGGUGAAAUGCAUAGAUAUCACGAGGAACCCCGAUUGCGAAGGCAGCCUGCCGGGGUGCGACUGACGCUGAGGCUCGAAGGUGCGGGUAUUAAACAGGAUUAGAUACCCUUGUAGUC
RNAcentral lists this ribosomal RNA (459 nucleotides) under uncultured bacterium. Its description in RNAcentral is "partial 16S ribosomal RNA". It matches the Rfam family "Bacterial small subunit ribosomal RNA", at positions 338 to 795 of the family's 1533-position model. The record is from RNAcentral.